This 378-nucleotide ribosomal RNA is filed under the name uncultured eukaryote. RNAcentral's name for it is "partial 18S ribosomal RNA". It matches the Rfam family "Eukaryotic small subunit ribosomal RNA", at positions 592 to 976 of the family's 1831-position model. The record is from RNAcentral.
CAAUAGCGUAUAUUUAAGUUGUUGCAGUUAAAAAGCUCGUAGUUGGAUUUCGGGUGUGAACGACCGGUCCGUCUUUGAUGUGUACUGGUUGGUUGCGCCUUAUUGUCGAGGACGUGGUUCUAGCUUUCAUUAGCCGGGACACGGAGUCGGCAGCGUUACUUUGAGAAAAUUAGAGUGUUCAAAGCAGGCUAUCGCUCUGAAUACUACAGCAUGGAAUAACACGAUAGGACUCCGAGCCUAUUCUGUUGGUCUUCGGGACCGGAGUAAUGAUUAAGAGGGACAGUUGGGGGCAUUCGCAUUCCGAUGUCAGAGGUGAAAUUCUUGGAUUAUCGGAAGACGAACAUCUGCGAAAGCAUUUGCCAAGGAUGUUUUCAUUAA